RNAcentral lists this long non-coding RNA (7831 nucleotides) under Oryza sativa (Asian cultivated rice). Its description in RNAcentral is "long non-coding RNA (OSAT_LNC001175)". Lineage: Eukaryota; Viridiplantae; Streptophyta; Magnoliopsida; Poales; Poaceae. The record is from RNAcentral.
AUUUAUAGUAAUCGGAGUCCGAACGAAGUCCCGAGGAUUGAAUAGAUGUGAGCCGUUAGAUCUUAUUUAGUCUCUUUAUAUAACCAACCAAAAAAAACAAACGAAAAAAAAAAGAAACAGGAGCGAUUCUCCUGUAGCCCUAGCCGCCGCACCUCCUGCGCUCUGCCGCCGCCGCUGCUGUUCCUCUCUUCGCCGGCGCCGCCGCUGGUGCAGCCGUCGCCGGUCGCCACAGCCUUCGUCGUCCGCAGCCGGUCGUUGGUGAGCUACUGUUGUUUCUGUUAAUUUCCCUGCUGCUGCCGAACCCUGCUGUUGCCGAUCUGAUCUCUUCCUUGCUGGUGGUGCACGGCUUGCUGUUGCUGCCGAUAUUCGUUUCUGCUGCUGCUGGCCUGCAAUGAACAGGAAGGAGGGAGAGAAGGCAGAGAAGAACAGGAAGGAAGGAAAGAAGGGGAAAUUUGAUAGAAGAAGGGAAAUUUGGGGAAUUUGGUGAAUAUUUCCAAAUUCUUCAUUUUUCUUAUACAUUAGUACUGCUAGGUAAUCCGUUUUAGUCUAUAGUUGUUUCUAAUUUAUAUUUAAGACGAUCUGUUUCCGGUUUUUUCGAAUUUAUUUUAUAUCGAACGCUAGGCUGAAACCGUAUUUUCAAAUCUGGUAUUAAACCAUCAGGAAUCAGGUUAGUUGUCCUAAAUAAAGUUUGUAGUCAUUGUCAAUAUCUUUCCAACGGUGCUAGUUUCACUCGAUUCCGAUAAACGGUUUAGGAGAAACAGCAAAAACAGUACUGCUGACCGGGUCCGGAAAUCAGGACAGCAGUUCGUUUUUCCUUAAUCUGGAAUUUUCAGAGUCAUAAUCUGAUUUUGUGCUCAACAUGAAAGUUGUAGACAAUUUUGUCUAGAUGUCCAAAGUUGUAUUAUUUGCUAGUUUCCGUUAGACGGUUUGUGAGUUACUCAUAAAACAGUAAUGGAACAGCUAUAGGUUAUUUAAUACAAAUCGAUAAAAGGUUUAUAUGUUCUAGGUUUCGAUUUUAGUAAAUAUCCCUUGUAACCAUCGUUAGUUGAAUAUAGUGGUUUAUGCGUAGUUUUGCUCCACAGGUGUGGAGGGUUCCAACGUUGGAGGAGUUGAGUCGGAGUAUCGAAUGAGUUAAGGCAAGUACAAGACGGACUUAUGUGAUGGACAAAACUGAGUUGUUUUGUUUGCCUUUACUUGCAUAAUUAUUAUUCAAUUGCUUGUUAUUACUGAUUGUAUGGCUAUGACGUUAUGCUACUUAUUCCUGUUUUGACCCAUAUUCAAAUUCAUGACGUUAUUCAUGUUUCAUUAUUCCGGAUGUUCUGUUUACAUUAUUCAAGAACCAUGCGUAGCCAUGGGAGUGCAAUUUGGAUCUUUAUUCAUGAUCCUUGAGAAGCGCUGAUCACGCUUGCUCGGCUUACCGGUAAUGCUAAGAGGAUAUUCACACCUGCCCGGGAGGGAACUACUAUCUUUUGACUUCUUUGGUUUAAAAAUAAAGUAAAUCCAACCCUUCAUGUUGGUUUCUUAAUGCAUAAAACAUGCGUAUGUUUUACUAGUUCAAGAUUGUAUUUGCUGAGUAUUCUUUACUCACUCUUGUGUUUAAUUUGGUUUUUAGGUACCUAAUGACAUCGAUCGGCAUGGGGCGGGAGUAGCACCCUUGGACUACACAUUAUUAUUGCACACAAUUGAAAUUAGUUUUAGACUAUGAUUUUUGCUCAGCAUAAGUUUUGCAUAGAACUUGUAAAGGUCAUUUAAGGUUCUGAUCCUUAUUUUUCACGUGGGAUUUGUGGAGCUAGGAUGGUUUGGAUUGUGUGGUUUAUAUCGGUAUUGACCUUUCUUAUAACUGUCUGUCGUGAUGUCCGUAUUUUUAGGGGAGACUCUACCAAAAUUUCUAAUAAUUUUAGGACUUAGUUUUUGAGUGUAUUUUGGUGUGGCAUUCUAUGUACGUGGUUACCUGGGGUAUUACAGUUGGUAUCAGAGCGGGCGGUAGGUCCAUGGGAAGUGACUGGGUAAUGAGAUAUAUAAAUCAACAUAAAAUUUUGAACUAGAGUUCCUAACCAAUUAAAAAAAAUACUUUCUCUUAGGGUAGGAAAUAAUAAGAGUAGAACUUGGGUUAUAUAUAAACAUCUAAAAGAACUUGACACACUGGUGCACAAUAGGAAUGGGAGCAUGGGUCAUUCCUAGCAUUUAUGUUUCUGCUGCAUAUAUAUGUGUAUGAUUGUGUUUCCUUGCAUGCCAUUGUCUAACCUAUUGUUAAACUAAUAACGUGUAAAUGCUUGUGUUUGAUAUAGCUAUGCCGCCUAGAGUGAGUGUUUGGUUGGCUAACAGAGGCCGCGGGAGAGGCGGAGGUAGAGGUCGUGGUAGGGGCCACUAUAAUGAAGAAGUUGAAAAUACUCAGGAUAAUGAAGAGGUUGGGAACAACUCGGUUGCUGAAUCCCCUAUUCCUAAUCGUGGAGGUCGUGGUAGGGGCCGUGCUGGAGGCCGUGGAAGAGGUUGUGGUAGAGGUCGCCAUAAUGAGGCAGCAUCCUCGAACCAGAAGGAGGAUGAGCACAUGGAAGAGGAGGGUGGUAGCCAUUCAGCUGCUGUCUCUGAUGAUGCUCCUCGAGCUGCUCGGGGGAUGACACUCACUAGAUGGACAUCCAUGCGCUUAGACACAUUUGAUGGGUCUGGUACUCCCGUUAAUGCUGCAGACUGGUUACGCAAGAUGGAGAAGUAUAUGAGGGGAUCUAGAAUGACUCCUGAGGAGAAGGUUACUUUCAUGCCUUUUCAGUUGACUGGUCAGGCGGACAUUUGGUGGGAUGGAGUUGUUGAAGCGUGGAACCCUGAUCGUGGUGCUAUUACUUGGGAAGUUUUUCUUCAGCAGUUCAGAGCUAAGUAUUAUCCAGAAUCAUUUAGGGACAAGAUGAGUGAUGAGUUAAACAAUAUCCAACAGGGAAGCAAGACUGUUGAUGAGUAUGAACGGGAGUUCAGCAGUAUUGUACGCUUUGUGCCUAGCGUGGCAAAUGAUGAGCGUGAGAAGGCUAGGAAGUUCUUUCGAGGGCUCAAUGCUCGGUAUAGAGAAGUGAUGGGAAGAAACCCGCCUACUAUAUACCUCAAUGCAGUUGAGGAGGCUCAAGGGAUGGAGGUUGAGCUCCAAAUUACUACUGCGCAGAAGAAUCGUUUUGGCAAUGUCACUGGUAAUGAGCAGAAGAGAGCUCAUCAGGAAGGGGGUGAGAACUCGCAGCGACCACCUUUCAAGAAGUACAAACAAAAUCAGGUCACUCAACCAUCAUCUAAACCUAGGCAGUGGGGUUCUCAGCCUAAUGCAGCUUCACGUCCAACGGAGUCUUAGUUGAUUCGCCCUGUGCCAAGGCAAGGGCUAAUUUGCUUUAAGUGUGGAAAGAAUCACCAUUCAGCAGAGUGUGGGUUUACUGGGGCAUGUCGUGGGUGUGGCAAAGCUGGACACAUGGAGUUGGUAUGUAAGCGUAACCCAAAUUCUAUCAUCAAGUGGCAAAAGCCGAGCUCCUAUUCAGCAACCUCUUCAACAGCUAGCUAUCCUCGAGGUUUAGGUUCAUCCACUAGUACUCCCCGUGGUGCCGUUUAGAUGAUGACAACUUAUCCACUUCCUUACCAGCAGUUCACACAUAAUUACCCACCACCACCAUUACCAGGACAGUAUUGGCCCAUGCCUCAAUCUUUUGCUCCACGUGCUCCACUCCAGUUGCCUGCACCGCCUAUGGCGCAUCCUUCUGCUUCAGCUCCACCUCACCAGCAGGUCUCAGCCUCUACUACCCCAGCUAUAGCUGGAGUCUACAACAUGCCUGCAGCUUCAUCCCUUGGUCGCCCGGAUGUCGUUACAGGUACACUUUUAGUUGAUUCGCAUGAUGCCCUAGUUCUGUUUGAUUCUGGUGCUACAUUUUCCUUUGUUUCAAUCGAGUUUGCGAAAAGAGCUAAUCUAUUUAGUCAAGAGGUCUCUCGAUCUGUCCAAGUCAGCUCUCCAGGGGGUAUAAUCUCUAGUUCAGUAGUAUGUCUAGGUUGUGCAAUCUCUAUUGAUGGGGAGGAAUUUGUGGCAAAUCUAAUUGUGAUUCCCUUACCGCUCUUUGAUGUGAUCUUGGGCAUGGAUUGGUUGAACCGAUAUCGUGCUGUAAUCUCUUGUUUCUGGAAGACUAUUACCUUGGAAGCUCCAUCAGGCGAGGAGAUGGUUUUCCAAGGGAGCGCGCCUCCGCAUUCUCUUUUCGUGAUGUCAAGGUUAUUUCCUGGGCAGCGUGCUGUAAAGACGGGGUUAUUAUGGGCCUUAGCCGAGAAGUCAUCCAAGCCUUUAGUGAUUGAAGAUGUUCCUGUAGUGCGAGAUUAUCCUGAUGUUUUUCCCGCAGAAUUGCCAGGGAUGCCACCUGAGCGUGAUGUAGAGUUCCGUAUUGAUCUUGUUCCUGGUACACAACCUAUCUCCAGAGCCCCGUACCGGUUAGCUCGUCCUUUCCAAGAAGAGUUGAAGAAACAAUUAGAUGAUCUAUUAUCUAAGAAGUUAAUCCGACGGAGUGUGUCGCCAUGGGGCGCACCUGUUAUUUUUACUGAGAAGAAGGAUGGAAGUUGGCGUAUGUGUGUGGACUAUCGGGCCUUAAAUGCUGCGACAAUCAAGAACAAGUACCCAUUGCCUCGUAUUGAAGAUUUGUUUGAUCAGUUAAAGGGAGCGAAGGUGUUCUCUAAAAUUGACUUGAAAUCUGGUUAUAACCAAAUUCGAGUGCGAGAAGAGGAUAUUGAGAAGACUGCAUUUUCCACGAGGUAUGGGCAUUAUGAGUAUAGAGUAAUGUCCUUUGGGCUGACCAAUGCUCCGGCCUAUUUUAUGGAGGCGAUGAAUAGCAUGUUGCAUAGUUUUCUAGAUAAUUUCGUGGUGGUGUUUAUUGAUGAUAUUCUGAUUUACUCCAAAGAUGUAGAGGAGCAUGAGCGUCAUCUGAGGAUGGUACUAGGGACCCUACGAGAAAACAAGUUCUAUGCUAAACUGAAGAAGUGUGAGUUCUGGCUUCCUGAAGUGGCUUUCCUAGGGCAUGUAAUUAAUCAGCAAGGUAUCUCGGUUGAUCCAAGCAAAGUUUUAAGUGUUGUCGGAUGGGAAAGGCCGACUAAUGUUAAGGAUGUGAGGAGUUUUUUGGGUAUGGCGGGGUACUACCGACGCUUUGUGAAGGAUUUCUCGAUUAUCGCUAAACCUAUGACGAUGCUCACACAUAAGGAUGUGAAGUUUCAGUGGACGGACCAAUGCGAGUGUAGUUUCCAACAAUUGAAGCAGAGGCUGGUAACUGCUCCGGUGCUUACUUUGCCCCAACCUGGUAAACGUUUCACUGUCUAUUCCGAUGCUUCACGAGUAGGCCUUGGUUGUGUUCUUAUGCAAGAGGGCAAUGUUAUAGCUUAUGCAUCUAGGCAGUUAAAGAAGCAUGAGCAGAAUUACCCCACUCAUGAUCUUGAGCUUACAGCAGUGGUCUUUGCUCUCAAAAUUUGGAGGCACUACCUGUAUGGAGAAUCUUGUGAUAUUUUCCCUGAUCAUAAGAGUCUGAAAUAUAUCUUCACUCAGAAGGAUUUGAACUUAAGGCAGAGGAGGUGGCUAGAGUUGAUUAAAGACUAUGAUCUUAACAUUCAAUACACACCGGGUAAGGCGAAUGUGGUUGCAGAUGCUCUAAGCCGUAAGGUCGUUUCUCCAACUGUGAGUUGUUUGAUAACUGAUUUUGAACGGAUGGAUAUCUCCUAUUGUUAUGUUGGAGUGGCAAGUACCGAGUCACGAGUCAUUCUUGAGUCCGUCAUACCCCAACGAGUGCUAGAGGCCCAACAACACGAUCGGUUGCUGCAACAAGUUAAGAAACGUGUAAAGGAAGGAAAAACUGGAGAUUUCACUUUGGAUUCCUCGGGAGCUGUGCGAUUCCAUGGGCGUUUAUGUGUUCCACAAAAAGCUAAAGUCAAGGAAGAGAUUUUGCGAGAAGCACACCGAACACCAUAUACUGUGCAUCCUGGGGAGAACAAGAUGUAUCAUGAUCUGAAGAAGAUCUAUUGGUGGAAGAGGAUGAAAGUGGAUGUGGCCAAGUAUGUGGCAUCAUGUGGGGUAUGUCAGCGAGUAAAGGCUGAACAUAAGAGUCCUGCUGGAAAGUUGCAAUCAUUGGAAGUUCCUGUAUGGCCUUGGGAUGAUAUUGCUAUGGAUUUCGUGGUUGGGUUACCUCGAACUCCACGAGGAAAGGACGCCAUCUGGGUGGUUGUAGAUCAUCUGAGUAAGGUGGCACAUUUCAUUCCUAUCCGCACCACUUAUUCUGCGAGUGACUUGGCACCGAUCUAUUCACGCGAGGUAGUGAGGUUACAUGGUGUGCCUCGCUCGAUUGUUUCUGAUAGGGAUGCUAAGUUUUCUUCUAAGUUCUGGGAAUCUGUGCAAGAGGCAUUUGAUACUCAAUUGAAAUUCAGUACGGCUUUUCACCCUCAGACUGAUGGUCAAUCUGAGCGGACUAUUCAAACUUUAGAGGAUAUGUUGAGAUCAUGUAUCCUUUCAUGGAAAGGCAGUUGGGAGGAUCAUUUGCCGUUUGUAGAAUUUGCUUACAACAAUAGUUUCCAUGCUAGCAUUCAAAUGGCACCAUAUGAGUCACUUUAUGGAAGAAAGUGUCGAUCCCCAUUGUGUUGGGAUUCCAUAGGGGAGAGAGCUAUUUUAGGACCCGAUUGGGUACAACAGACCACAUAACGGAUAGCAGAAAUACGACAACACAUGCUUGCAGCUCAAAGUAGGCAGAAGAGCUACGCCGAUGUCAGAAGACGAGAAUUAGAGUUUGAAGUGGGCGAUCAAGUACUUCUAAAGGUAUCUCCAACCAAAGGUGUUGUGAGAUUUGGAACGAAAGGCAAACUCAGCCUUAGGUAUAUUGGUCCAUUCUCGAUAGUGGAAAGAGUUGGAAUCCUAGCGUAUCGCCUUGAGUUACCAGAGUCCAUGAAAGGUGUACAUGAUGUAUUCCAUAUUUCCAUGUUGAGAAAAUAUUGAACAUCAUAUUACCGUAGAGCCGAUGACCAUUGAGCAAGAUUUGACAUUUGAGUCUCAUCCUGUAAGAAUAUUGGAGGAAUCUGAGAGGGUGCUCAGGCAUAGAACUAUCAAGUAUGUCAAGGUUCUCUGGACGCACCAGACCGAGCGAGAGGCCACAUGGGAACUUGAGUCACAGAUGCGGGAGAAGUAUCCCGAGUUAUUCACGUCUGGUGAGUUAUAUAAGUCCUACCUAUGAGUUCCUUUCUAUACUUGUCCGAGGUAUAACUGGACGAAUUCGAGGGCGAAUUCGAUUGAAGGAGGGAGGAAUGUAAUAUCCCGUGUUCUAGAGUAUGAUUAGGCGAAUUCGAGGGCGAAUUCGAUCGAAGGGGGGAAGAAUGUAAUACCCCGAGUUUUAAAUUAAUAUAUCUCGCGGAAUAUUAGAGCAAACGCGCAAAAGUUCAACUUUUAAACCAUUGUUCGUAUAGGCGAUCGGGAACCGUGGAUGCGUAGAGCUCGCCGAGUAGUGCAAAAUAGACUAUAAAUUUAUAGUAAUCGGAGUCCGAACGAAGUCCCGAGGAUUGAAUAGAUAUGAGCCGUUAGAUCUUAUUUAGUCUCUUUAUAUAACCAACCAAAAAAAAACAAACGAAAAAAAAAAAGAAACAGGAGCGAUUCUCCUGUAGCCCUAGCCGCCGCACCCCCUGCGCUCUGCCGCCGCCGCUGCUGUUCCUCUCUUCGCCGACGCAGCCGCUGGUGCAGCCAUCGCCGGUCGCCACAGCCGUCGUCGUCCGCAGCCGGUCGUUGGUGAGCUACUGUUGUUUCUGUUAAUUUCCCUGCUGCUGCCGAACCCUGCUGUUGCCGAUCUGAUCUCUUCCUUGCUGGUGG